RNAcentral lists this ribosomal RNA (253 nucleotides) under uncultured bacterium. Its description in RNAcentral is "partial 16S ribosomal RNA". It matches the Rfam family "Bacterial small subunit ribosomal RNA", at positions 524 to 776 of the family's 1533-position model. The record is from RNAcentral.
UACAGAGACUGCAAGCGUUAUUCGGAUUCACUGGGCGUAAAGGGUGCGCAGGCGGUUGGGUGUGUCAGAUGUGAAAUCCCGAGGCUUAACCUCGGAACUGCGUCUGAAACUACUCGACUAGAGUAUUGGAGAGGGUAACGGAACUCACGGUGUAGCAGUGAAAUGCGUAGAUAUCGUGAGGAACACCAGAGGCGAAGGCGGUUACCUGGACAAUUACUGACGCUCAGGCACGAAAGCAUGGGGAGCAAAAGGG